UUCUUUUACAUUCCGCUCGUAGCCAUGCUCUGCAAGAAACGAUCAUAAGAAAGUAGAUGCUUUGGAAGUGGCUUUCUUAUCCUUCAAAUAUUUACCACAAUCUUGUCAAUUACCGUUGCUUCCGUUAUCUUCAAAUAUGGUUUCUUUUUCAUUCCCGUCAAAUCAACCAUAACAUCGGUCCCAGCAAGAGACAGACCUCUCAAUUUCCACAAAGACUACAACUCAGAAGAAAAUAAAUCUAAUCAGCCCACCUUGACCUUCCUCCCUCCUAAGAAACCCCCAUCCAUCAUCUCCCCUCCCCUUCCCCUCUGGAAUCCCAAAGCCAUGGACUGGUACUCUUGGCUCUCCAAAUCCAAUCUCGAGCACGGCCUUAUCUAUGAUUACUCCCUCAUCUUCUCCCAUAAUGAGCUUGAGGAAGAGGACAUCAUCCACUUCAACCAUGAGCUCCUCCAAAGCAUGGGCAUCUCCAUAGCCAAGCAUAGGCUGGAGAUACUCAGGCUAGCCAAGAAGUCGAAGGCCAAGUCUCCAUGGCCCGUCGCAAGGCUCUUCGCUGCGAUCGACAAGACCAAGAACUGCCUGGCCAGGUACAUCCACUCGCUGGUCCACCGAGAUAAUUCGGCGAUCGUGGUUGUCCCAAGGCCUUCAUAUGGUGGUGCAAGGUGGAAGGGAGCCAUGCUGAAGAGGAGCAAGAGGCUGCUGCCAUUGAAGCAGGGAAGGCUGAUGCUCGUUGAAGGUGGUGUAGAGGUUGCCGGCCGGAAUUCUGCCUCAUAUAGCGCAAGAUCGAUGGCCCACAACAAUUGGAAGAGAGAAAAAGGUGGCGAUGGAGAUGGCUUUUGGGGUGGCAGCACUAAGGAGAUCAGGUGGGACUCCAUGUUUCAGGACUUGAAGCCAACUUGAGCUCAUGAAGCAGGGCUUCUCCUCGUGUUGUCUCCUUUAGGAGCCAUGAGAGAUUGCUGUGCUUAAUUGGGAGGAGGCCGAGCUCAUGAAGAGACAAAGCUCAUCAGGAGGUCGAGCUCAUCAGAAAGCCGACUUCAUCAAAAGAUCGAAUUUAUCAGAAGGCCGACGUUAUUAGAAGAUUGAACUCAUCAGGAGACCGACGUUUAGCACCAACCUCUUCAGCUCUCCAGUUUGAUUCAGCACCAACUUCACCGUUUUUCUUUCGGAGCCUUGCAACAAUACAUCCUACGUAGAUAGAGCACUCACUGAUCAAUUUACCAUAUGAAUAACAAGAUCAUUGGGAGUGAAAUCCCUGGAGAUCCUAUCCAUAUUUAAUUUUUAAUCAGUGAAUCAAAGGCUAUAUGUGCCUGCAAACAUCAACAGAUCGCCAUUAGACAAGAUCAUGAGCGCACCAGAUGAAGUCUUCAUGCCGGUCAGCAAUCAUAAAAGCAAUUGAAAGAUUGCCCUGAGAUGCGGGUUAUCUGUUAAUUAAGUUUUAUUUCUUGAAUGAAGUCUGUUACUUAAGUGCCCUGCUCUCGAUGUGACUCUGCACUCACUAAUGUAGUUGGGGAGUCUGAAUCAAAUGUCAUCUGCAAAAUUUUGUUGGUUAGACCUUCUGAAGUUUCUAAAACUUUAACAAACUAGAGCUCUAACAGAACCAUAUUGAAUUCAAAGACCAACUGCUUCUUCUAAAAGUUACCAUCUGAAAGGUCUCCAUCAGUCCCUUAAACCCAUUACCUAGGGAAGCAGGCUAGCAGUUUAGUCCACUUAAAUUACCGGUCAACACUGACUAAUUAACUGAGAAAAGAAGCAAUCAAUUCGACUGUGAACAAUCCGGAAAACUAAAUUUAGAACAUGGCCAACUACCAAGAUCAUGC
Non-coding RNA from Elaeis guineensis (African oil palm), 1814 nucleotides. NCBI's taxonomy places the organism in Eukaryota, Viridiplantae, Streptophyta, Magnoliopsida, Arecales, Arecaceae. The record is from RefSeq and is a predicted model, not a curated record.